GAACCUGUACCAUUCAAAUCCUGCCAAUCAACCCAUGCCUGUUCUGGGUAUGGUUCUAAACCCGGUUCAUGAAAUCUCGAACUCGUUGCUCUAUCCCUCCUUCGUCUUCUCUACCCGCUGACCUGGAAAUAUAUCAAGAAAACCAAUAUUCUACUGUUAAUUGAUAUCAGUUUGUGUUAGUUUCUACAUAUACAGUAGUACACUUGAGAACACUGUACAAGUAACUGCCGAUCAGCUAUACAUCAGUGCUUGAUCAUAUAUAGAAAUGCGAAUGCUGAUUAAUCUGUGCAGGCUCGGUUGAUACUGCACAUUCUGUCAUGCAGUCUGUAAAGCAGGCAAUACAACCAGAAUUACACACGCUGCGAAGAAAGUGUUACCUCAAGACUGAGCGAAGGCAGUGAAUUUAUAGCUGAAGUCAAGAUGUUGAAGGAGUAACAUUGGCAGUCACGUGUCCGAAAUGUCAGGAUUCGACUAUAACGCCAGAUCUGGGGAAAAUUAUAAUUAUGUAAUAGUGGAUUCCAUCUCGAUAAUGUAAAAUAUCACGUGCCUGUGACAUGAGUAAAUAAUUAAAAAUAAAUAAGUAAUUACCAACAACGUUAAUGUUGCAAGAAUCUUGUUCAACUACCCUUCGCC
This 633-nucleotide long non-coding RNA is filed under the name Olea europaea (common olive). Its description in RNAcentral is "long non-coding RNA (OEUR_LNC010138)". Lineage: Eukaryota; Viridiplantae; Streptophyta; Magnoliopsida; Lamiales; Oleaceae. The record is from RNAcentral.